GAGAGAGAGAGAGAGAGAGUCCGGCUGGGAUACUAUCGAUAGCACCAAGGGCUUGGUGCUAUCGAGUUUUCCACCGUUAGAUUUAACUCUUUGAUUAUUUUUAACCGUUAGAUUAUACUAUUCAACCAACCACCCACUCAACCUUAGGAGGCCCACAUCAUCCUCAUCACAUAUUUCUCAAUCCAAGGGCUAAAAAACUAAUAGCACCAAUAGCUUGAUGCUAUUGAUAGCAUUCCAGUCUAGUCCUAU
This 249-nucleotide long non-coding RNA is filed under the name Ananas comosus (pineapple). RNAcentral describes it as "long non-coding RNA (ACOM_LNC036137)". The record is from RNAcentral. Lineage: Eukaryota; Viridiplantae; Streptophyta; Magnoliopsida; Poales; Bromeliaceae.